UGGUGCCAAAUGCAACUGAUGGAACUGAUUUGAAACCUCUAAGAGGGAAAACACUCCCGUUAUUUGUAGACCCAGAGGUAGCGGUACCUGAUGUACUGAAACAAGCUGUCCAGAAAAUGAGAACAUUUAACAAGGACAUGCCAGAAGAACCGUACGUCCGUUUGUAUCCAGACCGCUCAGAGGUGGUCCAUGUGCCUGGAUCAGAAAAAACAUUCAAAUUGGCAGAAUAUAAAAAGGACCUAGGAAAGGCAUAUUCCAGGAUCACUUUUUACAUAUGCCUAGAAACACACUUUAAAGGAGGUUUUUGAACCACAAAACGUACUCCCAAACUCAAACCUAAAGAUGAAAGAGAUGCACCAGGACAUUCAGCAACAAUUCAGCCUGGACAGAUAGUAAUAUCUGAUAUUGAGGAUAUGGAUCCACCUGAAACAAAUCCAGACAAGACUUCUUGCUACAGUAAAAACACAGACCUGUAUGCACCAGGUAUUGAGGACGAGGAGCUGGUUGCAGUCCAUGUGGAGAAUUUCCAACACACAGCAGUGGAGGAGAACAUUACACUAGCUGACAUUGUGGCAAACCUGUCACUUCCUAUUGAUCACAAAACAGUCAGCAGGUUCAACAUCUCAAAGACUAAUGUUUGGGAUGGAGCAGUCAGAGGUUUUAAGCAUACAACAUAUUCUGAAACCUGUGACAUGCUGGUCAAAUUUACUGAUGAUGCUGGUGUUUAUGAGGAGGGAAUUGACACAGGUGGUCCCAGAUGAGAAUUUUUAACUCUGCUAAUGAAACACCUGAAAGACUGGCCCAUUUUUGAUGGACCAGAAGGACAUCGGUUCUUGGUCUACAAUGCAAAUGCUGUUAGGGAGGAUGAAUACUACCUGGCAGGAAAAAUGAUCACAGUGUCAGUUGCACAUGGGGGUCCAGGACCCCAUUUCCUGUCAGAAGAUCUUGUACAUUGUACAUCUUGCAGGCCAGCCUCCAUUCAAAUCAACAGUUAAUUCAAUAACUGAUGAAGAAACAGGGAAAGCUUUGCGAGAGAUUGAGAAUGCUGCUUCGUUGCUCUGCGUGAAUGUAUCAUGAGACACAGUACAAUGUUACAGACAGCAGGUUGUCUGAGACAUGUGGCUGCUGUGGAAGAAAAGAAAUCGUGGCAGACUACCUCCGAUGGUAUAUCAUUGACCGCAACUCAUAUGUAAUUGACAGAUUCAAAGAUGGUCUUUCAGCCCUUCAGUUUUCGAGUGCACUACAGCAACACCCUACUUUGCUGGCCCCUGUCCUUUGCCACUCAGAAAAGCAACUGACUGGCUUUGAACUUGAGAGACUUUUCAAACCUGACCUCAGUCCUUCAGGAAGUAACCGGAGACUAAAUGAAAGUCAAACCUUGGCCUACUGGGCAGACUAUCUCUUUGAUUGUGAAGGUUUGUAAGCUUUUUUUGUAACUAGUUGAGAAACCACAUUACCAUGGUGUAUCUGACUCUAAAAACGUUUGU
Epinephelus moara (kelp grouper) is the source of this 1487-nucleotide long non-coding RNA. RefSeq lists it as uncharacterized. Lineage: Eukaryota; Metazoa; Chordata; Actinopteri; Perciformes; Serranidae. The transcript is spliced from 9 exons. The record is from RefSeq and is a predicted model, not a curated record.